RNAcentral lists this long non-coding RNA (8349 nucleotides) under Populus trichocarpa (black cottonwood). RNAcentral's name for it is "long non-coding RNA (PTRI_LNC002978)". Lineage: Eukaryota; Viridiplantae; Streptophyta; Magnoliopsida; Malpighiales; Salicaceae. The record is from RNAcentral.
AAGACUUGAUAACAGAAUCAAGCCUAGCAAAAUUCCCUUACUUGCAUUUUUGUGUCAAGGAAACUUUGAGAUUACACCCUCCAGCACCAUUUCUAAUACCUCACCGAGCAACAGAAGAUUGUCAAGUUUUGGACUGCACCAUACCAAAGGACACCCAAGUUCUUGUGAAUGUAUGGGCAAUUGCAAGAGACCCUGCCAGUUGGGAAGACCCUUUGUGUUUUAAACCUGAAAGAUUCCUGAAUUCUGAUCUGGAUUACAAAGGAAACCAUUUUGAGUUUUUGCCUUUUGGAAGUGGAAGGAGGAUUUGUGCCGGGUUACCAAUGGCUGUUAAGAAAGUUCAGCUGGCUUUGGCCAAUUUAAUCCAUGGCUUUGACUGGUCUCUACCAAAUAACAUGCUUCCUGAUGAACUAAACAUGGAUGAGAAGUAUGGUAUCACACUGAUGAAGGAGCAACCUCUUAAGCUUAUACCGAAAUUGAGGAAAUGAUCAUAACUUCUUGUGGUUGAUGAUGGAGCAACCCUUUAAUUUCCCUGUGUUUUCUGUUAUCUUGCGUCAUUGUUUCCUGUACUGUGUUGUGAUCCAUGAAGCAUGUUAGGCUAUUUGGGGUGGUGUUGUGCUAUAUGUAUACAAUCUGUUUAAUAGCUUACUAGUUUUGUUUGAAAUAAGAUUAUUGGAAGUCUCUGAAGAGACUACAUCAACUCUAUAUCAGUAAAGAACAUCCUCUUCAUCUCAUACUUCAAAAAAGCUAGUCUUUCUCACAAUGGGUUGAUGAAUCUUAAGGUAAUUCCUUUACUUGAACAUGAGAAACAGAAAAAUGUAUGUGAAGGUGAGAUGUGAUUCCUGCCUUAACUUUAUCCUCAUCCGGCAAAGCUUUAAUGAGUUUCUUAUAACCAAUUUUUGUAAGAAUCUGGGGAAGGCGAUGAAGGACGACAUAAUGAUGCAUGGGUUGGGUUCUUUAUCUUUUUUAAAGAGUAAUGCCAAUAUGCUAUACUUCCAGGACUGAGUUUUCGAUUAAUAUUUAACCAUUGAUGGAAAAAAAUAACUAGGUGUUACAGACAAUCAAAUAAUUGAAAUAUCACAGACAUACUUGGAAAUAUCAUCAUCUUCUACCUUUCCACCAAACCAAAAAGGCCACACCAUAACCAAACUAGAGCAAAAAGCCCUCACUUUCCUUCAAGAUUUUCAGCAAUUUCCCUCUUCAUGGGUGCAGCCAAAACCAAGAUCCAACACUUAUUCUUCUUCACCUACAUAACAUGCUGAACCAAUCCCCCAACAAAAUGACCUUACCUCCCAUAAUCUCAAGAUGGUUCUCUGAUCUAGAUUGGAAACCUCUCCUCUUGAUCAUCCCUCCUCUCUCUCUCCUCCUUUUCUUCUCUAUCUCCUUUACACCCAUCAACCCUUUUUCCACCCUUUCCCCUCUCGCUUCCCGUUUCUUCAACAAAACCACCCUGAUUACACUCCCCUCCACCUCCCCAACAACAAAUCUUUCAUCAACUGCUCACCCUAGUUCGCCGCCUGUGAAUCCGAGUGACUCGACUCAGUGGAAAGAUGAGCUGGAUCGGUCGAGAAUGGCCGUGUGUUUAGUUGGUGGGGCCAGGAGGUUUGAACUGACUGGACCCUCGAUUGUGAAGAAUAUUUUACAAGUGUAUCCAAAUUCAGACCUUUUUUACACAGCAAUUUUGAUAACAAUGCUUUCAAAUUCUCUAUCUUGAAAACUGUGCCAAGGCUCGCCUCUGUCCGGAUUAUCAUUCCCCAACCUCUGCCCGCGACCUUGCCUCAGCUCCGUGUCCUUACAGCUGCUAAUUCUCCUAAUGGCAUCCAGGUUUGUUCCCCUUUUGCCUUCACUACAAUGUUUUUCUUAAGGUUUCAUUUUUUUUUUCAGCAAUUUAUUUACCUGAUUUAAUCUAAUCUUAGUGAUUUUUUUAUGGUAAAUUACGAUUUGAUAACUUUUUAGAGAAUAAUGUGGUCUCCUCUUUUGUUUUCUCCUAAAGAAAAGAUGCGCCAUGAGGGUUCAAAUUUCUGAUAAAGUUGUGAGAAUUUUCAUGGAUUCACUCAUCACUACCAGUAGGCAUUUCCUUAAAUAAAUAAAACAGUGUUACUAUUAUUCUCUUCUUUUUAUUUUUGUUACACCUUUUUAUAAUAAUUAUUCGUGCCUUUUAAGAUAACCUUGUAGUUAUGUCUCUGAUAUAACUAUAAAUAUAUAAUGACUAAGAUGGUAUUUAGCCAAAAGAAAGUAAGAAACGAACGAUGUAAAAUAUAAACCAAUGCCAUGACGAUGAUACAUGGGAUUUUUGGUGUCUGUCAUAACCCAGUCUCAGUUGGUGAUUUAUAACUGAAGUUCUAUAACUCUAAAUUUAGGAAGAUCAAUUUUCUUAGUUAGACAAUAUUCAAAACUAUAAUUUCUAUUAAGGAAUCUUAUUCUAAUUCUUUCAUCCUCCUACAUGAAAUCCCUCUAAAAGUCAAGAGAUGAAAUUGUCCAGAUUCGUUAACUUUUUCAUUUACACACAAUACAUGAAGUUAUUUAAUUUAGUAACUAAUAUUUUUUUUCUCAAUUCAAAUAUAAGAACUCAAAUCUAUAAUUUAACAUCCAGACAUCAAUUCAUAAUCGACUUUGAUACGACUCAUAAGACCAUGUUUAGAACACCUUACCUGGUACGAAUCAAGGUUUCGAUCUUCAACUCCCUCCUUUUCUUUCUAAUGACAGUCGUCCCUCCUCUCUUCUCUUCUUGUUCAAAUUUUCUUGUUAAUUCUUUGCCCACCAGUGUUUAAUCUUGGAUGAGUUCUUGAAAUUUUGGUGUUUCUUUCUUGAUUUGUAAAAAUAGAUACAAAAACUCCAUUUUUUUUUCUUUACAAUAAUUGCAGAUUUUUUGUGAGAAGAGGAGUAUUUAUGCUCUAUAAUUAUUAUUAUUUGCAUUUAGGCCCCAUUUUCUUUAAGUGUAUUUUUUUUGCCCCCGUAUCUUUUUGGUUUAAUUUAUUUCCUUUAAUUUAAUCCAGCCUUGAUUUUUCUCAGGAUUUACAUAUAUUGUAGUAAAUUUUUAGUUCAAAUAAGGUUUGGGAACAUAUUAUUUCAGAGGGUCGAAGUUACUAGACGAAUCUUGUCAAAUUAGGUCUUCAUGUACUGUUUAGGACAUAUCUGGAGCUACAAGUGUAAUUGUGCUACGAUUCAAGUUGAGCUAGAAACUAGACAUCUCAAUAUUUCCAACCAUAUAUAGUAGGUAUAGUAACUCAUCCAGAUAAGAGAGAACAACGUGUUUGAAGUCAAGACUGAAAUCUGCCAAGAAUGUGUGGAAAUUAGAGAUUUAGGCUACAUGAAAUAAUUUUAGCAUAAAGAAUUUGUUUUUAUUAUCCUAUUUAUUUAUUAAUAAUUAUUUUUAAUUUAGAUUUGUUUUGGACUAUUAUACAUUAUUUAGGGGUUUAUUUUAUUAUUUGACUUAUGUUAGUUAAUUACUAGUUUAGGUUCAUUAGCUUGCAACUCAAAAUGAAUCCAUUAGAGUUAGUUAGAGGAGACUAUAUUAUGUUUUUGUUAGCUGUAAAUUGCAGCAGCAAGUUGAAGAAUAAAUAUAAGUUUUUCUUUUGUUUGUUUGUGGAAAAACAACUUUUUUUAUAGGAACAAAGAUUAAUUGGCUUCGUAGAGUCAUUUGCAUAUUUGAGGUUCUUAGAUACAAGAUUAUUUCUAGAUUUAAGUCAAUACCCUUAGUUCUUAGUAUUUGCAUAGGCAAGGAAAUAAUUUUGUUUCCUAAAGAUGGUGACUAGUUAGUCUAAUGGUCCCUCAUGCUCUGCCGGUACCUUAUUCUUUCCAUGGGAAUUAUCAGUUGGGAUGUAAACAAAUAAUUAAAAUAUACAAAUCAAAUAAUUACAAAGAAUAAGCUAGCUUAAGUUGGUUAUUUCUAAAUUGAGAAACUCUCUCUUGAAAGUUAAAGAAAAAUCAUGUCGACCACUAAUUUCACACUUAAUCAUAUGGAACAUAAGUGUGUAGGAUAAAAAGGGUGACAAAUGACAAAAAUGAUAACAUAAUAUCUUUUUAAUAUGGAAUUUGCAGCCUUUUUAUAUAUAUACUCUAUGUUUUCAAGAAAAAAAAUCAUGUUUUUUCAAUAUGGGAUAAAAAACCUUUUGGUUUAAAUAUUUCAACUUAAAAAGAUAACAUAUGGAACAUAUAUUAAAGCAAAAUCAUGUCGUCCACUAAUUUCACACUUAAUCAUAUGGAACAUAAGUGUGUAGGAUAAAAAGGGUGACAAAUGACAAAAAUAAUAACAUAGUAUCUUUUUAAUAUGAGAUUUGCAGUCUUUUUAUAUAUAUACUCUAUGUUUUCAAGAAAAAAAAUCAUGUUUUUUCAGUGUGGGAUAAAAAACCUUUUGGUUUAAAUAUUUCAACUUAAAAGGAUAACAUAAUAUCUUUUCAAUGUGGGAUUUGAAGCUCUUUUGUAUAUAUACUCUAUGUUCCCAUGAAAAAAAUUAUGUUUUUUCAAUGUGGGAUUUGAAACCCAUUAUUAUAUUAUACUCUAUGUUCCCAAGAAAAAAAUCAUGUUUUUUUCAAUGUGGGAUAAAAAAACCUUUUGGUUUAAAUACUUCAACUUAAAAGGAUAACAUAGUAUUUUUUCAAUGUGGGAUUUGAAGCCCUUUCGUAUAUAUAUUCUAUAUUCCCAUGAAAAAAGUUAUGUUUUUUCAAUGUGGGAUUUGAAACCUAUUAGUAUAUAUACUCUACGUUUCCAAGAAAAAAGUUAUGUUUUUUUAAUAUGGGAUAAAAAACUUUUUUGGUUUAAAUACUUCAACUUAAAAGCUUAACAUAAUAUCUUUUUAAUGUGGGAUAAAAAACUUUUAAAAUAUUCUUUUAAACUUCAUUGUUUGCAAUAUGUAUAACCUAUAUUUACAUGAAUUUUUUCAUAUAAAAUAUUAAAACUUUAUUUUUUUUUAAUUUUUCUGGGUUGACCCGAGUUGACCCAUGAAACCCGGGACCCGGUCCCUUGGCCGGGUCAACCCCGGGUUGGAUUUAAUAAUAUGAUGCAGAGAAGAAUGUUUUUCAAAAUCUUUUUUUCCCGCUCACUUUCUCUCUCUCUCACCCUGACACAAGCCCCUGCCGCCUUGAUAAAGAAAGCCAGGAAACCCCUGCGCCACCAUGCCCUGCACUUGGACAAGGUAUGGUGACCGUCUCCCCGACUGCCUAUAAAUACAGAGGAACGAGCAGCAGAUAAGAAAAAAAAGCCAGACGAGAGAAGGGAGAAAAGAAUAGAAAACAGAGGUCAGAUAGAAGACAAGAAAAACAGAGAAAAAAAGAAAGGAAAUGCAAGAGACAGAGAGGAGGGAAUAAGAACCGAGAAACAGAGGUGACGGGGAAAGAGUUUGAUCUGAGGGAGAUGGAAAGGAACAGAAAAACAAGAACACAGAGGAGAAGAGAAGAACAGUAACAUCAAUCUCUGGGUGAUAAGAUCAGUUUCAUCCUUGCUGAUCAGACUAUUGGAUGGGCCUCGGAACUUGCAGAAAAGAAGGAGAUCAAGCGAGCUGCGUUUUGUUCUGCUGCAGCUGCAAUGUUAGUCCAGAGAUUCAGCAUCCCAAAGCUCAUUGAAGAUAGAAUCAUAGAUAAUGAAGGUCAGUUCUUUCUAUCACCAAUUUCUGUUUGUCCUGCUGUGAUGUUCUUUCCAGUUUUACUAUCAGUAACACUCCAUGGAACUUCUUGGUUCCGUGAAGGUGAUGAAUGCUGAUCAGGUAGCUUGCUAGCUAGGUUCAAUACAAGAAGUAUGAACAAAUAAUGGUGUCAGUAUAGAUAUUGGAGCUAGCUAGAAGUGGGGGACACUCUCUUAUGUACAAUAAACAGAAACAGAAGAGAGCCCACAUACAUUGAAAUAUCGUUCUCUAAAUCAUGAAUAUUUGAAAUAUCGUUCUCUAAAUUAUGAAAAUUUAAUCUUGAGGCUGGUGCAUUUGUCGAGAGAGUGUUUGAGAGUGGUACAUUGAUAUUUCCUAGAGUAGUCGGUGAAAUCUACCAUAGCACAUCAUAGCACAUGACUAUGUUUCAACUACGCCCUAUCUUUGAUGGGUCCGAUAAAGAUUACAUUUCAAAAGGAUCUAACAUAAGAAGAAAUUUUGUUGAUCCAUCACUUUCCUAUCAAUACUUAUUAAUAAAAAAGGACAACAAGUUUCAAGAAAUUAAAUUGAUAAUUAUAUGAUAAUUAUAGGCCAUUGGUGUGAGGGUCUCAAUCUCCUCAAACAUGAGUCACAUGGUUUUUGUACCACAUGCUUGUCUAUCAACUCUAGUAUGAUGGUUCGAAGAUCUUCAUUCACUAUCAAUAAAUUUAGGUAGGAUUGCUUCAAUCCAGCCUAAAUUCUAGUCUUGGGGUGAAAUAUCAUCAAUUUUGUUUUAAAUAUUAAUUCAGGCGAAUGCACGCAGGACCAUCAAUUUCAUUGGAGAUCAGAGAGAGACUUUGACAAUGGCAUCUCAAGCCCCUUAAAUUUAUUCCAAAAAAUCCACAAACUGAUCCAUCAAAUAUUAAGACAUUCAUUGGGGGCAAAGAAAGAUGAUUCAAAAAAAAAAAAAAAAGAGAGAUAGAAAAGUUAGAAAAAGGGAAAACAAAAAACAAGGGCUCUUCAAACAUGGAAGGCCUUCGACGUUCCUGUUCUUUUUUCUUUCUUUUUUUUUUUAUCAAUUAUUGUUGUUUUUUUUAUAAAAAAAAAUCAGUCACGUGAUUGAUUCCAUCAAAUUUUCAAAGAUCAUUCCACAAAUGUUAUCAGUUACAUCUGUCCAGGAGAUUACCUGUAAUUGAUAUAUAAAUUAAUUCUUUUUGUGCCUUUUGAGAUUUGCACAUCAUAACUUCUACAAUUUUAAAUUAAAAUUAAACCGGCAAGGUAUGCUUGGCAUUUUUUGAAUGAGAAUAACCCCCUCAGGUUAAUGGCAAGGUCUUCUACUGUUAAUGUUUCUUUUUUCUAAUUAUUGGCAACAACAGUCCGUAGUCAGCAGCUAGCUUGAUUGCCUCUUCCCCCAUUAUAAAUAGCAACAUAGUUAAUGUUGCAACACACCUUCUUUGCAUUAAUUAACGGAAACCAUGGUUUCAAUAAGUGUUUUAGCAAACUCCUAUCCAUCUUUUCCCAUGUUGUUUCUUCUAGCAAUAUUAUUGUUGCUUUCCCUUGUCCUAAAACACAAAUCUUCCAAAGUCCCGGCUAUUCCUCCAGGGCCAAAAUCAUGGCCUAUUAUAGGAAAUGUACUUCAAAUAGGAAACAAGCCCCAUAUUUCCUUGACUAAAUUAGCACAGGUUUAUGGUCCACUCAUGUCCCUCCGACUAGGGACUCAACUUGUUGUCGUCGGGUCUUCUCGGGAAGCAGCCUCCGAAAUCCUCAAAACCCAUGACCGAGAACUCUCCGGCCGGUGUGUGCCUCACGCAUCCUUUGCUAAGGACCCUAAGCUGAAUGAGGACUCCAUAGCUUGGACGUUUGAGUGCACCGACCGAUGGAGGUUCUUUCGUUCCCUGAUGAGGAAUGAGCUAUUCUCUUCUAAAGUCGUUGAUGGACAGUCAAGUACAAGAGAAACCAAGGCCAAAGAAAUGAUAGAUUUCUUGAAAAAGAAGGAAGGAGAGGGAGUCAAAAUACGAGAUAUUGUGUUUGUUUAUACAUUUAAUGUAUUGGCGAACAUUUACUUAUCAAAAGACUUGAUAGAUUAUGAUCAAACUGGAGAGUGCCAAAGAGUGUGUGGGCUUGUAAGGGAAAUGAUGGAGUUACAUACAACUCUAAACAUAUCGGAUUUGUAUCCUAUACUAGGUAGCUUGGAUCUUCAAGGUCUGAGUAGAAAGACUAAUGAGUGCGGGAGUAGAAUUCAGGAAUUAUGGAGGAGUAUCAUCAAAGAACGCAGAGAAGGCCGCAACGAUACAGGAGAUGAUGAUAAUUCCAGUAAACGUAAAGAUUUCCUUGAUGUUUUGCUUGAUGGUGAAUUUUCUGAUGAGCAAAUCAGUUCAUUCUUCGUGGUAUAUAUGAUCUCUAACUUAUGCACUCAUAAUACAUUCCUUUUGUUCAGAUAUUAGUAAUAUCAUUUGCAUUAUUUUAUGGGAGCAGGAACUCUUAGCUGCAGUAUCGGAUAGUUCUAGCUCAACAAUCGAAUGGGCGAUGGCAGAACUGAUGAGGAAUCCACAAGCAAUGAAACAACUUCGCGAAGAACUUGCUGGAGAAACUCCUGAAGACUUGAUAACAGAAUCAAGCCUAGCAAAAUUCCCUUACUUGCAUUUAUGUGUCAAGGAAACUUUGAGAUUACACCCUCCAGCACCAUUACUAAUACCUCACCGAGCAACAGAAGAUUGUCAAGUUUUGGACUGCACCAUACCAAAGGACACCCAAGUUCUUGUGAAUGUAUGGGCAAUUGCAAGAGACCCUGCCAG